Molecule: ribosomal RNA, 515 nt
Filed under: Danuriini gen. sp. MN307
Lineage: Eukaryota; Metazoa; Arthropoda; Insecta; Mantodea; Mantidae
Description: partial 16S ribosomal RNA
Rfam family: Bacterial large subunit ribosomal RNA
Source: RNAcentral
GGUUUCUUGAUUUUAUAUUUAGGAAAUUUAACCUGCCCACUGAUAAUUAUUAAAGGGCCGCAGUAUUUUGACUGUGCAAAGGUAGCAUAAUCAUUAGUCUUUUAAUUGAAGGCUGGUAUGAAUGGUUGGACGAGGUAAAUUCUGUUUUAUAUUAAUUUAAUUGAAUUUAGAUUUUAAGUGAAAAUACUUAAAUGUUUUUAAGGGACGAGAAGACCCUAUAGAGUUUAAUAUUUUAGUAAUUAAUUAAGUUAAAAAUUAAUUUUUGGUUAAUUAUAACAACUAUUUAAUUGGGGUGAUUAGGAGAUAAAUAAAACUCUUCUUUAAUAUUAAUAUUGUAUUUAGUUAAUAUGAUCCAUAUAAAUGAUUAAAAGAUUAAAUUACCUUAGGGAUAACAGCAUAAUUCUUUUUGAGAGUUCAUAUCGAAAAUGGAGUUUGUGACCUCGAUGUUGGAUUAAGAUUAGUUUUGGGUGUAGAUGUUCAAAAUUCUAGGUCUGUUCGACCUUUAAAAUCUUACA